RNAcentral lists this ribosomal RNA (484 nucleotides) under uncultured bacterium. Its description in RNAcentral is "partial 16S ribosomal RNA". It matches the Rfam family "Bacterial small subunit ribosomal RNA", at positions 30 to 507 of the family's 1533-position model. The record is from RNAcentral.
AUUGAACGCUGGCGGCAGGCCUAACACAUGCAAGUCGAGCGGAUGAAGGGAGCUUGCUCCUGGAUUCAGCGGCGGACGGGUGAGUAAUGCCUAGGAAUCUGCCUGGUAGUGGGGGAUAACGUCCGGAAACGGGCGCUAAUACCGCAUACGUCCUGAGGGAGAAAGUGGGGGAUCUUCGGACCUCACGCUAUCAGAUGAGCCUAGGUCGGAUUAGCUAGUUGGUGGGGUAAAGGCCUACCAAGGCGACGAUCCGUAACUGGUCUGAGAGGAUGAUCAGUCACACUGGAACUGAGACACGGUCCAGACUCCUACGGGAGGCAGCAGUGGGGAAUAUUGGACGACGGGCGAAAGCCUGAUCCAGCCAUGGCGCGUGUGUGAAGAAGGUCUUCGGAUUGUAAAGCACUUUAAGGUGGGAGGAAGGGCAGUAAGUUAAUACCUUGCUGUUUUGACGUUACCAACAGAAGAAGCACCGGCUAACUUCGUG